Molecule: long non-coding RNA, 270 nt
Organism: Arabidopsis thaliana (thale cress)
Lineage: Eukaryota; Viridiplantae; Streptophyta; Magnoliopsida; Brassicales; Brassicaceae
Product: other RNA
Exons: 1
Source: RefSeq
UUGUUUGUUUGUGUUUUUUCUUAUUUAUCCUAUAAAUCUAUAUAAUCCUUCUUCCUUUGCUCCCAUCCUAAAGAUCUUUCCUUCUGUGUCUACUACAUCAACAACCUGUAACCGCAACUAACCCGAGCUUCAUGUGCUUCUUUUGUGACCAUCAUCGUCUUCUUCUUCUUCUUCUUCUUUAUCUCUUAUAACAUCUAUCACCGUAGCAUUGCAGAAAAAACAUCUCUGACAGUUGAGAAGAUGUCUAGUUAUGCAGCCAUAACAUGAUCG